This 253-nucleotide ribosomal RNA is filed under the name uncultured bacterium. RNAcentral describes it as "partial 16S ribosomal RNA". It matches the Rfam family "Bacterial small subunit ribosomal RNA", at positions 524 to 776 of the family's 1533-position model. The record is from RNAcentral.
UACGAAGGGGGCUAGCGUUGUUCGGAAUUACUGGGCGUAAAGGGCGCGUAGGCGGCCUGACAAGUCAGAGGUGAAAGUCCUGGGCUCAACCUGGGGACUGCCUUUGAAACUGUCGGGCUUGAGACCGGGAGAGGUGAGUGGAAUUCCCAGUGUAGAGGUGAAAUUCGUAGAUAUUGGGAAGAACACCAGUGGCGAAGGCGGCUCACUGGACCGGUUCUGACGCUGCGGCGCGAAAGCGUGGGGAGCAAACAGG